This is a long non-coding RNA of Haliaeetus leucocephalus (bald eagle), 503 nucleotides long. RefSeq lists it as uncharacterized. NCBI's taxonomy places the organism in Eukaryota, Metazoa, Chordata, Aves, Accipitriformes, Accipitridae. The transcript has 3 exons. The record is from RefSeq and is a predicted model, not a curated record.
AGAGAAUUAAAAAAGAGAAUUAAUAAAAGGAGGAAGUCAAGUGGGCAUGGAGGAUGCUGAAACAGCAUCGUUACCUUAUGUGCAGAGGAUGCUUCACGUUGCUGACCUGUGUGGUCCUCACCUAGCUGUGGUGAGCUGACCCCGGCAAGCAGUAAGAAGUUUUUAUGUGGUAGAAGAGGUGUGGACUUGCGUCACAAACGGAUGGGAAGAUCCAAAAAGUUUAAAACUGAAGAAGCAGCAGUGCGUCAAAAACCUCAUCUACUCACAACACUUACGGGCAAGAACCAGACCAAUUCAGACAUAGGAGAGAAGGAGGAGAGCUCUUUUUCCAUUACUGCUUCAAGGAAGAGAAUUAGUAUUUGAUAAGAAAAAUCAAUUAGCUGACAAGUAAGAUGGAGAUUCUGAACACAACCUAUGGAAACCAUCCUUGAAGAAAACCUUUAAUGUAGAGGAUCUCUGAUGGCUGUGUAAGUUCUGGAGCAUGGUUGUGUGUAGCUGGUUGA